GGUGGGGUGGCCGAGCGGUUGAAGGCGGCGGUCUUGAAAACCGUUAGGCGCGCUGAGCGUCUCGUGGGUUCGAAUCCCACCCCCACCG
RNAcentral lists this transfer RNA (88 nucleotides) under bacterium. RNAcentral describes it as "tRNA-Ser". It matches the Rfam family "tRNA". Rfam says of the family: Transfer RNA (tRNA) molecules are approximately 80 nucleotides in length. Their secondary structure includes four short double-helical elements and three loops (D, anti-codon, and T loops). The record is from RNAcentral. RNAcentral also lists the same sequence under 1 other name.